This 222-nucleotide ribosomal RNA is filed under the name uncultured Chlamydiales CRG26. RNAcentral's name for it is "partial 16S ribosomal RNA". It matches the Rfam family "Bacterial small subunit ribosomal RNA", at positions 66 to 273 of the family's 1533-position model. The record is from RNAcentral. Lineage: Bacteria; Pseudomonadati; Chlamydiota; Chlamydiia; Chlamydiales.
ACGAAAAGGGGAGCAAUCUCCUUUUAGUGGCGAAAGGGUUAGUAAGGCAUGAGUAAUCUGCCUCGUACCUCGGAAUAACGGCUGGAAACGGCCGCUAAUACCGGAUGAGGCGUUUCUACGGCAUCGUGGGGGCGUCAACGUUGGGGACUAUGAAAGUAGCCUUGCGGUACGAGAAGAGCUCAUGAGGUAUCAGCUAGUUGGUGUGGUAAUGGCGCACCAAGG